This 28-nucleotide small RNA is filed under the name Bombyx mori (domestic silkworm). RNAcentral's name for it is "piRNA piR-bmo-1315666". Lineage: Eukaryota; Metazoa; Arthropoda; Insecta; Lepidoptera; Bombycidae. The record is from RNAcentral.
UGACUACACUAUCUCGAGAGAUACCUAC